CCAAACCUGCACCCAAGCCCAACUGUCCAACUGACGAAAAAUAGUCUGAACUCUGGGUUUGCAGUUCAAGUAGGUUUAAUUGAACCAAGGGAGUUGAUCCCUCCACCCCUACGUUAUGGCCUCACCUCCCCAAUAUUUUCCACAUCUUAUUUUAUUAAAAAAAAUAACCUUUUUACUUUUUAUUAUAUUUUUUACUUUUACCCCUAUUUAACUAAUUUAACUC
This 223-nucleotide long non-coding RNA is filed under the name Vigna radiata. RNAcentral's name for it is "long non-coding RNA (VRAD_LNC014597)". The record is from RNAcentral. Lineage: Eukaryota; Viridiplantae; Streptophyta; Magnoliopsida; Fabales; Fabaceae.